GAUGAAGAACGUAGCGAAAUGCGAUAAGUAAUGUGAAUUGCAGAAUUCAGUGAAUCACCGAAUCUUUGAACGCACAUUGCGCCCGCCAGUAUUCUGGCGGGCAUGCCUGUUCGAGCGUCAUUUCAACCAUCAAGCCCCCGGCUUGUGUUGGGGACCUGCGGCUGCCGCAGGCCCUGAAAAGCAGUGGCGGGCUCGCUGUCACACCGAGCGUAGUAGCAUACAUCUCGCUCUGGGCGUGCUGCGGGUUCCGGCCGUUAAACCACCUUCAUAACCCAAGGUUGACCUCGGAUCAGGUAGGAAGACCCGCUGAACUUAAGCAUAUCAAUAAGCGGAGGA
RNAcentral lists this unclassified non-coding RNA (336 nucleotides) under soil metagenome. RNAcentral's name for it is "partial contains 5.8S ribosomal RNA, internal transcribed spacer 2, and large subunit ribosomal RNA". The stretch from base 1 to 120 matches the Rfam family "5.8S ribosomal RNA", at positions 35 to 154 of the family's 154-position model. The record is from RNAcentral.